CAAGCGAUGUGGAGNAACCCAAAACGUUACUCAGUUCAGAUUGCAGGCUGCAACCCGCCUGCAUGAAGUCGGAAUUGCUAGUAAUCGCGGAUCAGCAUGCCGCGGUGAAUACGUUCCCGGGCCUUGUACACACCGCCCGUCACACCAUGGGAGCCGGUAAUACCCGAAGUCAGUAGUCCAACCUCGUGAGGACGCUGCCGAAGGUAGGAUUGGCGACUGGGGUGAAGUCGUAACAAGGUAGC
This 242-nucleotide ribosomal RNA is filed under the name uncultured bacterium. RNAcentral describes it as "partial 16S ribosomal RNA". It matches the Rfam family "Bacterial small subunit ribosomal RNA", at positions 1255 to 1500 of the family's 1533-position model. The record is from RNAcentral.